AUGGUACUUCAAGGUUUGGAAAGUGCUUUACAAAUAUUAACUUAUUUGAUCCUCAUAAAAAUCCUGGGAGGUACAUGCUCUUAUUCUUUUCAUUUUACAGAUGAAGAAACUGAGGCAAACAGAGGUCAAGUGUCUUGCUCUGAGCCACAUAGGUGUGGAAGGUGGCCUGCACUGUCUGGAGCACGAGAGAAGUCUCCAUUGUCAGAUUCCUUCAGCGCAGGAUGCCGACACAAGGGAUUUAACGGUGCGGCUGAGGCCAAUCUUCCUGCGCCUAGAGCAGAGAUGUUAUGGGGCACUGGAGGACCGGGAUGUUACUUUGUGACUGUGCCAAAGCGGAUAAAGCGUAUAGAUACAAUCUUAUUAAAAGUCUCUCUCUGUUUCCAUUUCCACAUGUCUGUUUAAAACAUAAACAUUGUGUGGGAGUAUAUUAAAUGCAUGAAUACUAACUAACUGGUGACCGAUACACUGGAAUGGGGUGGGGG
This 482-nucleotide long non-coding RNA is filed under the name Monodelphis domestica (gray short-tailed opossum). RNAcentral describes it as "lncRNA (ENSMODG00000043507.1)". Lineage: Eukaryota; Metazoa; Chordata; Mammalia; Didelphimorphia; Didelphidae. The record is from RNAcentral.